Non-coding RNA from Paramuricea clavata, 208 nucleotides. The record is from the annotation of a GenBank genome assembly. NCBI's taxonomy places the organism in Eukaryota, Metazoa, Cnidaria, Anthozoa, Malacalcyonacea, Plexauridae.
CCCAUUCAUCAUGAGGCGGAUCAUGAGGCGGAUAAAGCGUCAAGUGACUUUGGAGAAUAUUAGCACGUCAAGAAUAAUAUGCUGCCUUGCUGACGCUUGCAAACAAAUAUCUCAUGGAAGCAGUGUAUUAAUGUGUAACAAAGGGUUAGGUUAAAAUGCGGAUGCGGAAUGGAUAUGGGGUUAAAAUACAGAACAGAACAGAUAUGGG